RNAcentral lists this transfer RNA (66 nucleotides) under Trichuris ovis. RNAcentral describes it as "tRNA-Arg". Lineage: Eukaryota; Metazoa; Nematoda; Enoplea; Trichinellida; Trichuridae. The record is from RNAcentral.
GCAUACUAAUUGAACUAUUCAAACUUAAUUUCGACUUAAGCAUUAGGGAAUUUCCCAGUAUCCUGG